This 440-nucleotide ribosomal RNA is filed under the name uncultured Desulfuromonadaceae bacterium. Its description in RNAcentral is "partial 16S ribosomal RNA". It matches the Rfam family "Bacterial small subunit ribosomal RNA", at positions 338 to 794 of the family's 1533-position model. Lineage: Bacteria; Pseudomonadati; Thermodesulfobacteriota; Desulfuromonadia; Desulfuromonadales; Desulfuromonadaceae. The record is from RNAcentral.
CCUACGGGAGGCAGCAGUAAGGAAUCUUGCGCAAUGGGCGAAAGCCUGACGCAGCGACGCCGCGUGGGCGAUGAAGGCCUUCGGGUUGUAAAGCCCUUUUCUGGGGGACGAGGAAGGACGGUACCCCAGGAAUAAGUCACGGCUAACUCCGUGCCAGCAGCCGCGGUAAUACAGAGGGUGCGAGCGUUGUUCGGAAUUAUUGGGCGUAAAGCGCGUGUAGGCGGUUUGUUAAGUCUGAUGUGAAAGCCCCGGGCUCAACCGGGGAAGUGCAUUGGAUACUGGCAGACUUGAGUACGGGAGAGGAGAGUGGAAUUCCCAGGGUAGGAGUGAAAUCCGUAGAUAUUGGGAGGAACACCGGUGGCGAAGGCGGCUCUCGGGACCGAUACUGACGCUGAGACGCGAAAGCGUGGGGAGCAAACAGGAUUAGAUACCCCUGUAGU